Molecule: ribosomal RNA, 497 nt
Filed under: Aeribacillus pallidus
Lineage: Bacteria; Bacillati; Bacillota; Bacilli; Caryophanales; Bacillaceae
Description: partial 23S ribosomal RNA
Rfam family: Bacterial large subunit ribosomal RNA
Source: RNAcentral
GGCGGGACACGUGAAAUCCCGUCGGAAGCAGGGAGGACCAUCUCCCAAGGCUAAAUACUCCCUAGUGACCGAUAGUGAACCAGUACCGUGAGGGAAAGGUGAAAAGCACCCCGGGAGGGGAGUGAAAGAGAACCUGAAACCGUGUGCCUACAAGUAGUCAGAGCCCAUUAACGGGUGAUGGCGUGCCUUUUGUAGAAUGAACCGGCGAGUUGCGAUUUCGUGCAAGGUUAAGCCGAAAGGCGGAGCCGUAGCGAAAGCGAGUCUGAAGAGGGCGAAAUAGUACGAGGUCGCAGACCCGAAACCAGGUGAUCUACCCAUGUCCAGGGUGAAGGCAAGGUAACACUUGCUGGAGGCCCGAACCCACGCACGUUGAAAAGUGCGGGGAUGAGGUGUGGGUAGGGGUGAAAUGCCAAUCGAACUUGGAGAUAGCUGGUUCUCUCCGAAAUAGCUUUAGGGCUAGCCUCAAGGGAAGAGUCUUGGAGGUAGAGCACUGAUUG